RNAcentral lists this unclassified non-coding RNA (265 nucleotides) under uncultured fungus. Its description in RNAcentral is "partial contains small subunit ribosomal RNA, internal transcribed spacer 1, and 5.8S ribosomal RNA". The stretch from base 1 to 73 matches the Rfam family "Eukaryotic small subunit ribosomal RNA", at positions 1759 to 1831 of the family's 1831-position model. The record is from RNAcentral. Lineage: Eukaryota; Fungi.
GCAAACUUGGUCAUUUAGAGGAAGUAAAAGUCGUAACAAGGUCUCCGUUGGUGAACCAGCGGAGGGAUCAUUACAGAGUUUUCUAACUCCCAAACCCUUUGUGAACUUACCAUUCUGUUGCCUCGGCGGGCCUCUGGGAUUCGUCCCACGUCCGCCGGCGGCCCCUUAAACUCUGUUAUUAUACGUAAUCUGAGAGUAUUCUAAAAUAAAAGUUAAAACUUUCAACAACGGAUCUCUUGGUUCUGGCAUCGAUGAAGAACGCAGC